GGCCCCCAAUCCAGAUCCCUAAUUCCUGCUCCCGGCCAGAAGACGGAUGGGAAAAGUUGUCGACAGUUUUAGUCGACAUUGUGUCAGUUGUCUGUCCUCCGGCAUUUGCUUUUCCCACAAUCUCACAAUCUCUGCCAUUUUGAGGGGAAAGUGAACUGAACCGAGCAUCACGAAUGUGUGUGUGCGGACAGUUUGUGGCCUUUUGAAACGCUCUCGUAUGGAAAUGUUUAGAAAACUUGCCACACAAUAGUUUCCACAUAAAAACUGCUUGGAUUAUAUGGCAGAGAACGUGCAGGAAAUGCCCCAAAAGGAUUUUGCGGCUUUAGCAGCCACCAUAAUAAAUUUGGAUGCCUAACGAGCGACUGCCUCGGGUUGCACAAAUGUGGCAUAAUUCUAAUUGCUCUCGCAGGUUAAGUUGGUUAAAAUGCACGAAGGGGUUACCUACAACGUUGCUCAAUUCCACUCUUUGUUUCUUAAAUAAUAUUUCUAUUCAUUUCUAUUCAAUUUAUAUUUGUAUUACCUUUCAAACUUUAGGUGUCUAGCAACCUUUUAAACUAAAUGAAAUAUUUCGGCAUUUACCAAUAGAAGUUUUCCUUUUUAAACUAUUUAACUAAUUUGUUUUAGUUGGUCCUCAACCAUUUGCUUCUACGUGUCUAAUAUAAUCUGUCCCAAGUGCAUUUACCCUUAAUUUAUGAGGCCUCCUUCUUCGAGUCCAUUGGAAAUAGACCUUAUCGAGCAUGAGUUUACCCUGAUGUCUGAGCCCAGCACGCCAUAAAUUGACUUCCGUUUGCAUUUCUAAUUAAAGCAGUUAGGCCAAGAAGAGAGCUGGCCGAAAGGAGCAUUACACUUAACUAGGACUGCUUCACAUGACCUUCUGCCACAUACACGCAAAAGGUUAAUUCCGCACCAACGGGCCAAGAACAAAUCCCCUUCUACGCUUUUCCAAGUGGAGCGGUCACGCCCCUUCGGUGCCAAACAAUGGGGUGAAAAUUUAAAUGCGAGUUUUGGCCAAAAGUGCUGGUGCUGUAAGUCGAAAGCAAACUCAAUUUGUUGCUUCUAAAGUUAAAUGAAUGUCAGAAAUUUUUAAAGCUUUCGGUUGGUGUUCUUGCCUCUUUGCUUUAAAUCUCCAUGGAGCGUUUCCACUUAAUUUCAUCGUAAUUGGUAGAGAAUUUUUCGCGAGAGCUGUUGUUGGUUUAUUGCAUGUCAAAAGCAUUUUAAGCCCUGCGUUUCGGCCGUGAUGUUGACUUGGCUUGAUUGUUGAUAGCGAGUUUUUUGGUUGCUGGUGUGAGCGGUGGUGUUGCCCUGGAGUUUAUUGAAGCCUCAGUUUCCAGCUGGCUUGAUUCACAAUAUCUGGGUCAGUCGCCUUAAACGCCCAACAAAUUUCGAUGGCAUGUUAAAGAACAAUGCAGGUCGCCAUAAACAAAGUAUUAAUGUGAUUCUAAAAUACCCGGCUAAGUUUUCAAAUGCACGCUCUUUGAAAAUCUAAAAUUUAAAUUUUCCUUUACUUAAGUGCGAUAUUCUA
This is a long non-coding RNA of Drosophila simulans, 1522 nucleotides long. RefSeq lists it as uncharacterized. The record is from RefSeq and is a predicted model, not a curated record. Lineage: Eukaryota; Metazoa; Arthropoda; Insecta; Diptera; Drosophilidae. The transcript has 3 exons.